RNAcentral lists this long non-coding RNA (26939 nucleotides) under Ananas comosus (pineapple). RNAcentral's name for it is "long non-coding RNA (ACOM_LNC014449)". Lineage: Eukaryota; Viridiplantae; Streptophyta; Magnoliopsida; Poales; Bromeliaceae. The record is from RNAcentral.
GUAAUGUAGGUUGAGAAGAUAGAAAAGAAACUUACGGAUUUACGCUAAAUAUGAUUCCAUGGUCCACAACUCCAGCAAUCUGAUCCAGACUUUCUGCUACUUGGCCUAAAUGAGAAAACAGAAAGCACAUAAAGAAUCUUUAAUUAGAAAGAUUAAAAAAAAAGAAAAAGAAAAAUCCCUCUACCUAUAUAUAAAUAAACAAAAAAAAAAAAGCAAAGUAUUUUGUGAAGAGAACAAAACAUCAGAAAAAAUAUAGGCCAUAUAAUGAAUAAAAAAGAGAAUGUUAUUUUUAACUUGCAUUAACAAAUUCCUAUUUGGACAGCACUCUAACAAUGUUAAGAUGCUUGAUUAAAGAAAAGAAUCUAAAAAUGCUCUUUGCUUAAAAUCAUUAUUCGUGAGUAAUAUUCUGGAUACUUAUGCAGCAUCCAAAGUGUCGCUAAUGAGCUGACGGUGCUGCAAGGUGUGCACGUGAACCAAUCAGCGUGCGCCGCGCAUGAAUGCCAACAUAUUAGAAAUUUCAAGAGGAACUUUCGAAGGUGGCUAUAGAGCACUUUAAUUUCAUUGUUAGGAGCUAAAUUCUCUACAAAUGAAGUGUGUAACCACAAUGAACUUUUACCUAAAUCAAGUAUGGGAGAAGUGAAAAUAACAUCAAGAACAUGAUGUCCUUCUCUUGUAACCAGAGGGAAAUCACCUCCCAUUGGGUCUGCUUGUCCAGAUGUUGGCCUUCUCCACACCUUCAAUAUUAGAUAUUAAACCACAUAAACAUCAGCAAGAUUCCAAUAAGCAGGUACUACAUUUUUAGAUUUUUUUGGCCUAGCUGGAGCUUCUACUUGAAUAGUUUUUGAAUGAGUUUUUAAACUAGAGCUUUUUACUUUUGCGACCCAGAAGCUCAUUUUCAAUAAAACUAAAACUCAGAACAUCAAAAUGAAGUGAUGGGCUUAGAAAGACAAAAGCUCUAAGCGUCUUGCUCUGAAACAAUCAUUUCUCUCUGAAAACUUAAUCUGCUAAUAUCUUAUAUUGAACACACAGAAAGAAGCAAACCUCGGCAUCUCCCAGGAACAAGUCAUCUAUUUCCUCAGCAGUUUCCAUCCAAUUACCCUGAAAAGAAGUGUGUGCGCCUUUUGAUUGUUCAUGUUUUACAUGAUACUCAGAUUCUUCUGUGUUCUACCGACAAUAGAAAGUAGCAUACACAAUUAACUAACACUGGAAUUGAUCCAUCCACAUCUCUGGUGUACUGCUUCUCAGCAACAAUUAAGGCCAGUUUACUAGCUGCUUUUGCGAUUGACUGCGAAAAGAAGCCCAAAGGAAGAGUCAAAAGUGCAAUUAUCAGUGUAUCUCUUCCUCUUCUCUGAACAAUUCAAAGGAGUUUGAUCUACCUUUUCUAUGAAAAGGGACUCUCCACCCUCCGGCUUUCGUCGACCGAUGAGAGCAGUUAGUGUUCCCUCUUCAAUUAAAUCGGCAUCAUUAAAUGCAAAAUCAAUCUGUAUAGAUACAAGUCAACGAGAUUUAAGAUGUGAUACUCAAAAAAAAAAAAGAAAAAGAAGCAACUGCAGUAGUGAGAGAAAGGGUCUAACACACACUUGAAGAUUCUCUUGGUAAUGGUUUAGUGGAAUUCCUGCUUUUGCUGCCUCACUUGCACUGAAAACUGACCUGCACAUGAAUCUCAAAAGAGGUAGGUAAAUACCUUACUUGUGUGAAAUCACUAACUUUUAGAAACAAAAUUGUUUUUUUUUUUUGGAUUCAGCAAAUUUCAUAAAUUUUCGCUUACAAACAAGCCUCGAGGCUUAUCUUUCGGAUAACAUAACACCAGAGUCAAUCCUAAAUCUCCUCAAUCCCCCACACCCCCCCCCCCCCCCNCAAAAAAAAAAAAAAAAAAAAAAAAAAAUCAAAUCGAGGUUUAACUGCUAUGCAUCCAUCUUAAAUCUCUUUCACCAUCUCUCCUACCGCUCCACGCGGCAUAGUUCAUCACGUCUCCGCAAUGCACGCGAGCAAAAGUGUUAAAGCUAACGAGCAAAAGUUUCCAACCAAAUGCUAUAACAAGGAACAAGAAUGUUUUUGCGGAAAAUUGAGUGACAUCUAUGUAUGUAUGUAUGUAUGUAUGUGUGUGUGUGUGUGAGAGAGAAGAAGAUUGCUUACGAGGGUAUUCCGACGACGUCGCGCAGAGCUCCUUGUUGUAGACACCUCCCCAGAUACCGAACGGCGAAGCUCGACGCGCGACCGGAGCCCAAUCCGACCACCAUCCCACUCUUCACGAAUCUAUCCACCUGCACCACAAAACAUAUCUAACAUCAAAAUGGGAGAUCCCCAGAACUAUAUAUAUAUAUAUAUAUGUAGGCUAUUUUCGACGUAUCUGAAGCAUUGGAUUUUUGUUUUUUUUUGUAAUUGUUGUGGCAAUGCAACAACCGUUUGUUUGGCGGCCUCGAAGAAGUCGGCGUCGGCGACGGAGGCCACCGUGCUCCGGCCACGGGCGGGGGCGGAGGGAAUAUUCCGGCGGACGGACGGAACAUGCUUCGGCACGGAUAACGGAACGGUUGCAUGGGCCAUGGUUUGCGCGCCUACCUCUCCUGCUACCUCCUCAUCAUGGAGUGGUGCGGAGUGCGAAACUCUUUCUUUUGCUGAUGUGAAUUAUCGACCGGUAACGUCCUAACGGAUAAAGGACAUGGUCGUCAUUUUCUACAACGAGGGUGAUUAGAUAUUUUUCUCCUUUCUUUUUUUCUUUUUUUUUUUAAAAACUUUUCACGAUUGGAACUAUAUAUAUAUAUAUAUAUAUAUAUAUAUAUAUAUAUAUAUAUAUAUAUAUAUGGCUAAAUUAUAGAAAACUCCUAUGUCAAAAUCCGUUUUUUCAUUUUUCCUUCCUGUCAUUUAAAACUCUACACUUUGCCCCCUUGUAAAAUAAAAAAUAUGCACAAGAGGGUACGGUGUGACAAAAUGAUCAUUUUGCCCAUCGCCAUUUUCGUCUUUUCCCUCAUUCUCCUCAUCCGCGGACUCCAUAGAGGGCAUAGCAACCUGGAAGAAGGCAACGCGCAGACGGGCUUCGGGACUGCGACCGUGAGGUGGUUGUGCGCCGUCGAGCUGCUGGAGGUCGGUGGCGCCGGAGAGGGAGGACGGGAGGGGCCCCUGGAGGAGGUUGAAGCGAUGGAGGGCGGGAUGCAGCCGUCGAGUUGGUUGUGGGCGAGGACGACGAUGGAGGCCGGGGAGUCGCCGAGGUUGGCGGGGAUGGGGCCGCGGAGGCGGUUGGAGUUGAGGAAGAUGGCGUCGAGGGGGGGGUCGAAGAGGGCGGCGGGGAUGGGACCCUCGAACACGUUGAAGCAGAGGUCGAGGUAGCGGAAGGUGGGGAGGUCGAGGAUGACGCGUGGACAAAGUGGUUGUUGCUGAGGUUGAGCUCAUGGAGGAGGGCAAGGCCGGGGAGGGCGCCGUCCUGGAAGCCGUUGAAGCAACAGGGAAGAGGGGCGGAGGGGCAUUUUUGGCAUAAAAAAAAAUUAUAACGGAACCGUAACGGAACCCUAACGGCGGGGGGUGAAGUGCAAAUUUUUUAUUUUACAAGGGGGCAAAGUGUAGGAUUUUAAAUGACAGGAAGAAAAAGUGAAAAAACGGAUUUUGACAAAAGAAUUUUUUGUAAUUUAGCCUCUUCUUUUUUUUAAGAAAUAGGUAGCAUUUUUUUUUUUAAGAAAUAGGUAGCAUGCUAUCCACUUUAUUUAUUUUAUUUAAAAAUAAACUUAACUGAAAAUGAGUAUCAACUAAGAUUCGAAUUUGAGUCUCGGGUACCAACCACCAAGCCUUUUGCCACUUGCUCUAAGAAACGGCCGGUAUGAUCGAAACUAUAUGAGGUGUCAUGUUUUAGUACUUGAAAAACAAAAAAUCAGCAACGAUCGUGUACAGAAUUAACUAAUCAACAAAUAUGUUAUCUAUAUCUAUACACCUCGAAUGGAAUUAAAUGCCCGUUCGCAAGCACGAGACAAAUGUUAUGACACAAUAAUAUCUGUUUCAAUUAUGCCGCACCUCCCCAGGAACGAUGGGAGGAUUGAGUAGAGGAGAGAUCAUUUCAAGGAAGAGGUUGAAAACACAUGCAGAAACUUUCCGACAUACGACACAAUUUUAUGAAUCUAAAACCAUCAUUAUGAAUUAGAUUCAUACAUAAAUAUCAUUUUUCCUUCUCUUUCAAACUGUUAAAAACACAUCGCCACAACAUGAUAAUAAGAAGCUACUAAAUUGCUCCAGCAGACCAGUUGAAAUUGCUCAAUUGGUUAAAUAGGAGGGAACUCAUCCUGCUUACUAGAUGCCUUCACUCUUAACAUUUGGUUCUUCUCAGAACUUUCUUCUCACUUUAGGCUGCUUCAAACUGCAUGCGAUAAACACCAUUCCCGACUACAGCAUCACGCUAAAAUUGUCAACAUUAAAGUUAAUGAUGCCCUUUUAAGUAGCCUGUGUAACAACAAAUGGCAUCACAGCAACAAAUAAAACCACCUAAAUAUGGCCAAAAAAGUGAACGAUGCUCGAGCUAACAAAGUGGGUUUCUUCUGAAUCGGAGCUUUCGAAUCUUCCCUGUGCGGUCGAGGAUCAGAUUGCCCAACAAAAAAAUUUGUUAGCAGAUGUCAAGGCCAUAAUCUUCGAUGCGAACAAGAGAGUUAAAUAACCUAGUCCAGAACACCUUGUGGUUUUCUUUUUCUUGUGCGAUUUGACUGUAAGGAAUUUUGUAAGGAGUUUCAGCAAUGUUGAAUCUUUUCGGUUUUGAAACAAUUCCUGCAAGAUAUUCUCAUUUUCUUCAGCUUUGUAAUGUUGAUUUUCAGCUGCAUUGGUCAGUAAACCACCAAAAUUUAGAUGCAAACAUACACACAGCAAAUAGGUUUCCAAAAGAAAAAAAAAGAAAGAUCAGCUGCUUUACUUACCAUAGCUAAGAGCACAAACACAACUAUCUAUAAUUCGGUAUCAAAUAAAUCUCUUCCUUGCCCUCAUGUGAUUCCACAUUCAGCAACAGCCAAGCUUACAAAAUGGGUACAGUUAACAGUGCAGGAGCUCGUUCAGCAGAAUUUAUCAUGUUUUCAACCCUUGAAAGUUAUUCCGAGAAUCGAUCUGAUUUUCCUUUUUACUUGUUUAAUUGCUGAGCGCUGCAAAUAGAACAACAAAAUAGAUGAAACAACGUCAACCAGCGCGCACGUGCGCUGUACGUGCACGCCCACAGAGCAAGCUCUCGGGCGUGCACGAGAGAGAGAGAGAGAGAGAGAGAGAGAGAGUUGGAAUACCAUAGUACCUUAAUGUUGGCAUUCUACUCCUGUAGUGUUCCCAUUUUCAUCAGUAUGGGAAUUUCCAUUACUAUAAAGCAACAAGCCAGAAGAAUCCACAUUAGCAGAAGUAUUUACCAUGGAACGCGGUGUAAAAUUGUCUCCUGGUGAUUUACCAGAUUCAUUUCUCGACUUCUUUCUUGAGUUGCUGCUACCAAAAAAUAAAAUAAAAUAAAAUUAUAGACUUUAGCAAAAUUCACAUCAAUGACAAAGUGGAUAGUCCAUACUACCUUGAUGUUUCCCUUUUCUGCUUAAUGCCCAUCUUCUCAGCAGUACAAGAAUUCACACCAUGCAAACCAGGCAUGUUAGCAGGAACAUUAUCACCAGAAGGAUUUGCUAUGCCAUCAGUAGUUAAAUUUUCUUCAUCUGUUUUCCUGGAUUUAUCUCUGGACUUCCUUUGGCGACUACUGCUGCAAAAUAAGAUAUAUUAAGGCCACACCUGAAGUGAGAGAACAAAUUUCAACAAAGAGGCUAUUUAGUCUCUUAGCUCACAAUACCUGGAUGACCUUUUUGUUGACCUCUCAACUCUGACGUCCUCAGCUGUACCAGCAGAAGAUUCCAUCAGUCCAUCUGCUGCUGAAUUUUCCUUGCGACAUCUUUUAGACUUGGUUCUCAUCUUCUUUGUUUGAUCACUAAAAAAUGAAAUGAAACAACAAAAAAGAACUAAAUUACAACAAAUACUUAAAUAAUCAAAGACGAGGACUAGAAAAGACAGUAUAGAGAUAGAAAAAAGAAAAGAUCCUAUUUUAUCCAGGGUAACAAUACCUCGAUGUCUUCUCAACAGUUUCACCACUUUUAGAACUAAUUACGGUAGUAAAGUCAUUGGGACCAAUUGUCGGUCUCUCGCUCUCCCGAUCGACAAAAUUAGAUAUGAGUACGGUUCUUUUCAUUUGCCUUGCAGCUUGGAGUAAAGGCACUUCGUGAGGAAGCAGAACCUUCCAUCUCCUGUAUAUCCAACAUUUAAAAUGCUAUAGUACUGUCCUAUGAAUAAAAUUUAAGGCUUAAGUACAAAUUUAGUCACCCAGAUAUUGACGAUGUUUGUCCUUGGAUUCAAUUUCAUUCUCAGAGCUUCAACACCAAUGCUGAAGCUUGAUUUCAUUUUAAAUUUCAUACUUUUAAAUUUAAUGUGUUGCUGAUGUGAUGUCCUUGUAAUACUGUAGCAUAAAUGAAGGACUCAAUGCUUACAGAGAAAAGACUUUAGGACCCAAUUGUCACAAUUGAAACAAUGAGCAUGUAGUCAAAAUUUGGGUUCAAAUUUGAGGAAACAAAUUUGGAAUUAGUCAUUCAAUUGAUCACCGCCAAUUACAAAAAAAUAUCUUUCAUACCUCCUGCACUGACUAUCGGUACGCGGAGGAAUGCAGGCUGCAAUCCUAGACCAGCAAUAACCAUGCUCAUUUAUUGCUUCCAACAAUUUCGAGUCCUCUUCAGCUGUCCAUGCUUGCAGAUUUAAAGAUGGGUCGAGACAAUUCAGCCACCUGUAGCAGGAAUACAUCAAGUUAGUGUUGCCAUUAUAUCUAUUGCUUGAUUGUUGUCAGAUAAAAUGCACUGAUAGUCCUGUAGAUAUGUGACUUAAAUGUGACUUAGUCCAUGAACUUCUCAAUAAACCAUUUCAAUCCCUAUAAACUUUUCAACAUUUUGCAGUUGCGAUCUGCACUACUUGCCAUCCCAUGUCUUACACAAGUAACAUACUCUGCAAAUGACACUGUCUUAUAGAAUGAUCAUUUUACCCAUGCACCAAAUAAGUGAAGGGGUACAGUAAAAGGGGUAUAAUGAUAAUUUCAGAGAACUUAGUUGCAUGCAGAGCAUGAACUUGGCAGACAUUUGAUCAGCAUACACAGUUAAGGAUUUAGGUGCAAUAUGUAGGAAAGUUCUUCAGUAUCAGAUGUGCUAGGCAUUUAACAAGAAAGUUCUGUGACUAGGUUGCAAUGUUGCAAAUACAGCAACUAUCCAUACAAGCUAGCAAUGUCCUACCUUUCCCUGCAUUGAACCUGAGUCCGACCAGGAGCAAACUGUGCAAUUUUGUUCCAGUUUUUGGCCCCAAAAAGCAUUACUGCUACUUUCAGGCGCUUGUCCUCAUCCACAGACCACCUCCCCACCUUUCUCCUAUCAGGGUUUAAGGUUUUUCUCCACCUAAAUUAGAUGUGAUAAUGGUUAAAACAAGUAGGUAAGACAACCAUCCAGACAAAAAGAUAAAAUCAAGAAGUAGAGAUGCUAAGCUAGGUGACGACCAAAAAAGAACCCUAAGUAAAAUAUCUGCUAAACUUGCCCAAACAGAAGAUAUGAAGCUUAAAAUGGCAAACUAACCCAUUGUCCAUAAACAACUAGUAAAUCACAAUUACAAAUAAAAAAAGAGUACUAGUAAUAUAUAUAUAUAUAUAUAUAUAUAUAUAUAUAUAUAUAUAUAUAUAUAUAUAUAAAAUAAUAAUAACCAGCUAAAAAGUUUGUAGAUAGUUCUACAAAUUUGAAAUGAAUAUGAAAGUCCACGGUGCGGACAUUAAUGCGGUUAGCAAGACAAUAGUACUAAUUCUAUUUUCAUUUUUUACUGUUCUCUGAAAAGGUUAUGGACCAUGUCAUAACAACUAAAAUUAGAGUACCAACAUUAUUCAACAACACUCAAUAACUUAAAUUUUGCCGAACUGACAUUAUCUAAGGUGAAUUGCUGGUUAGUUAUGAGAAUUCAUGAGCAAGAGGACGUUUUUACCUGUUAGAACAUUGAGGCCCUGUACGACUAUCCAUAUGAGAAGCUACAGCCUGCCAAUUAUUAUCACCAAAAGUUUCUACAGCAGCACAGAGAGUAAUAUCUUCUUCUUCUGUCCAAUCCCUGUUCAGUAUAUGAGGAUUAAGGCUUCGCUGGUAACGUGCAAGGCACUGAAAGGGAGUUCUAUGUGUUCCCAAUGAAAUUGAAAUAUUAAUCCAGUUAUAAACGCCUCCCUCUUGGACAAUAAAUAAAAGCUUCUUAUCCUCCAUCAUGGUCCAAGGAUUAUGAUUAAUCAACGGAUCCUCACAGUUCAACCACCUAGAUUGUAAACAGAGGGAGAAACUUAGCAGUCUGCCUUAGACAUUUGGGCAUUCCAGAAUUAGUGCUUUGUGAAAUAAACAGUUUCAUGAAGUAUUGUCUAACAUCCAAAUUACCAGGACGUAGGAAUAAAUUUUAAGCUACUCUCUCAAGUAGUGAGCUUCGUGUAGUAAACAUCACAGACCCAUACCUUGCUUCACACUCCUCGCCAGAACGGUCCGGUAAAUACAGAGUGGCCAAUCGGUCCCAGUUUACUGAUGGAAGGAAAGAUCUAAUCUUUUCAGGAGGGACUUCAAGAUCACUGCUACAUAGUGCAGGCAUCAUAUCUGAACCAUGGAGACCCUCAAUGUUACUGCAAGACAAAAGCUACGGUAACGAAUUUUCACAUAAGAAAAGUUGCACUGCAUGACUAGUGUUUUCAAGAGUAAAUCAGCUCCUCACACAACUUCCAGUCCAAGAACAAAAUUUGGAUAUCAACUUAAACUUUGUAGUCAAUCUGGAUGCCUAACAGAAGGCAAAGGAGCUAACAAAAAAGAGAGAUAUAGUGAGCAGGCCUAUCAAUAAAUUUAUUUCAUAUCGUAAAAUAAGUUGGCAAUAAACAACACCAUGUAUUUGUAAUCCACACGUAAUUCAAUGAUAAUUCAAUAAAUUUAUUUCAUAUCGUAAAAUAAGUUGGCAAUAAACAACACCAUGUAUUUGUAAUCCACGCGUAAUUCAAUGAUAAUUCUAUCAAAUUCUAUCGAACACAAGCACUUAAUGAAUAAGUUGCACUUUCAAAAUUAGUGCGAUAGGUACCUGUCAGCAUUCAUCAGAUUGCACAUCAACAUCUCUUGAUAUUGUUGCUUGAUUCCUUUAGCUAGUUUCUCUCUUUCUGUAUUUGACCAUGGUUGUUUGCGAAGUGAGACGGGAAAUCGCUCUUGUACCAGUUUGUAUUUUGAAACUUGAGAGUUCUCUUCUGGGCCAUAAUAUAGGACAGGUAAUUUCCUGCACGUGUUCUGAAACCAGCCACAAACCAGCCAAGCAUAUUAAUUCAUGCCGCUAUGUAUUUUCAUUAAGUAUUAAACCAAGCUGUAAUGAAAAAAAACCACCGAGAACCACACAGCCAGCCAACAAUGAGACAUGGGUGUGCAAGGAUCUGUGUUCUCUUAUCUCCUAUUAACAAGUAGCUAAAUUCAUUGAAUUGAAAAUUGAGAUAGACAUCAGUUUGGCAAUAGAAAUACACAAUAAAGCAUAAAUUUUAAAGGAUGAACACAGAAGAAAGAGCACAAUGUUACACAGCACAAUCUUCCAACUUAAAACAUUCAACAUUACUAACAACAAAGCAAACAGAUACAGAGUAUAGAAGUACAGCCACAAACCUUCUGAGGUUGCCUACUGCUUGGUUUUUGAUUUGAGAUUAACCUGACACGAGGAUCCUUCUUCUGGCACAAAAUGUGCCCCGCAGUCUUUUUGCAGGCAACCUGAAAAUCCAUAAGACAUUUAACACGAUCUUUCAGUUUCUUAUUUUCUUCAAUCUUUGCUUCAAUUUCAAUCAGCUUCCGCCUGAUGAAUUUCUGGCAUGACCUGUUCUUCUUGAGGGCAUCAACCAAGGCUUGUGCAGACUUUGGAAACUGGGAAUGUGUAAGGGUCCUUGCAUUGAAGUUGAGAGAUUUAUUCUCCCCAUGGUGUGACACUUUCGCAGUAGAGCCAGAAUACUCUUCACUUAGAACACCUCGUUUUCCACCCUUAGGAAAUAUAUCAGGGGUGCCUUGCUUUGACAUCAAACCCGAGUCAUCAGCUUCUUGUACAAAACUUUCAGACGUUCGUUGUAGAGCAUCUAGAACAGCAACUUUUUGAGAAUUAGCAAAAAUUAUAACAAAAAUCAUGCUAGCAAAAAUUAAAAUCUCCGAACCGAGGACAAAAAAAACUGCAGCUGUAAAAGUAAUCGUCUUUUUCAAUCAAUGAAGGAAAGUACCAAGGGACAACUAACUAUACCAAAAAAAUAUCAAAAGAAAAAAGAAAUAAAGGUAAAAAUUUUCGCCCCUACGAGUCAGUAAACAUGGUAACUGCAAGUUAAUGUACAUAGCAGCUCAUAAAAGGCCCAUAAUUUGCUUUUAGCUUUAAAGCGUACAAUGCUAAAGACUACAAAAACAUAUAAAUAACUAAGAUGAUCCCAUACCCUAACAGAUGAAUUUGCUCAUCUAGAGGAGAUAUUCCUUGUUCGUCCUCUUCUAAAGGAUGUUUCUUGGAUAACUACAGGCCGAGCAAUAUUCCAACUUUCCAUAGAUCUCAAUUCUCAUGGAACAAAAGGGAAGACCUCAUAAAUAGAGCACAUCCUCUGAAAAGUUCGGCCUAAUAAAUCUCCUCAGUCCACACCAAAGAUAAAGCCUAAAUUGAGAGAAUAAGUCGAGAGUUGUCGGAAGUGCCCUAGGAGCCUUGAUGUGAUCAUAACACAAAACGUAAGGAAAAGCAGUUCUGCUUCCAAAAAUAACAAUAAGUUCCUUCUAACUUCACUAAUCAUUCAGUAGUACGCCAUGAAUUUUGACAGUGCCUGAUUUUCAAUCAUUCAAAGGAUUAACUAAAUCCUUCAAAUCUACUCAGUCACGCAAAGCCUAAUAUUCCGAAUAACUGAUACAAUUUUCAUCUGCUUUGACUCCGCCAAUCCGCAUGAUAAUAUGAGUGGAAUUUUGGUGUUAUAUGUGAAAUUUCUAGUCUUAAUUAACAGAAAAAAAAAAGACAGAAUAAUCUGAAUUUAUUCGCCGUUUCUAAUAACAAAUCACGCUUUCCACAUUAUUCAGCAUUGGAAUCACACUAACAAGAAUAGGCCAACCCCUACUAGAGCAAGAGCACGAGUAAACAUUCAAAAGCACCCAACCACUCACCACUCUCAUAGUGAGAGAACCGCCUCUGGAUGGCGCGUAGGGUUUCGAAAUCGUCCUCCUCGUCCGAAUCCGACUGCGGGAGGAUGCUCAGGGGCUUGACGAAGGGGAGCGACUCCGAGGCCCCCGCCGCGGCGGAGGGCACCGAGAACCGCUCCUGGAGGCGGCGGAGGAGGCCGAGGUCGUCGGAGUCGCUGCUCUCGCCCCCGGAGUCGGAGUCGGAGCCGCCGAGGGCGUCGGCGGGGUCGGCACCGGUGAGCAUGCACGCCCGGCGCAGAGCCUCCAUGUCCUCGUCGAGGGCGUCGUCUCGGUCGCUGUCGGAAGAAGCGUACGACGCCAUGGAGGAGAGGGAACGAGAGAUCGGGUUUAGGGUUAGGGUUUGGUUGUUGCGGGGAGAGAGAGGGAGAGAGAGGGGGGAGUGGCGAGGGCGAGGGAGAGGAGGCUCUCGGGCACAUAAAAGCGCACGAAGAAGCGCCGUGCGAAGGAGAACGAUGCUCCGUGCUCCGUUACGCUUCUCGGUUUAUAUAUAGAGAGCAUAAACGAUCAAAUAAAAAAUAAAUAAAUAAAUAAUUUUCAAUUUUCAAUUUUCAAUUUUUCAAUUUUAAAAUUUAAAAUUUUGACUAUGUUCUCAACAAAAUUAAAUAAAAUCCAAAAUCUGUGUUGAUUUGUCGUUUACGUUAGUUUAAUUUUGCAAAACAAAAAAAAAGGUGAAAAUAUUUAAAAAAACUCACAUAAAGUAUAGAAUAUUUAAAUUUUACUAUAUAAUCGUUCAAAUUUUUGAUUUUAAUGCUUAAUUUUUUAAUUUAUUUGAUUUAGUUUGUUUGAUGACUCUCCAUAUAAUAGUUGCAUUAAUACAAAAAAAAAUAUUAAUUAAAUCUGAAAAAAUAAACUACUGAUUUAAAUUUUAAAGUUAAAAAGCCAAUACUUGACUUAUAUUAAAUAAAUUAAAAUAUUAUAUAGCAAAAUCAAAAAUUUAAAAGCUAGAUAGCCAUGAUACAUCUAACGCACUUUCUCACUGCAUAUAAUAUAAUCUCUUCAUAAGAGAAUUUAACUGUGGGUGUUUAUUUAAAAUAACUGGAAAUAUAAAAAAGGUAUUUUAAUAUUAGCUUUUUAAGAAAAAUAAAUCAAAAAAUCGAAAAUUUUUUAAGGACAUAAGCAAUUGCCCCUAAUUUAAUUUAUCUUAAUAAACAACUACAUAAGAGUCCGCAAAACGAGAAAAAAAGAAAAAAUUUCAAAAACCAUCCUUGUGAUUUUACAUUUUUUUACUUUAAUAUCUUAUGAUUUAAACUGUAUCAAUUUAAUGUCCUGUGCUUUUAUUUUUAUUUUUUUAUUAUCGAUUAUCGGUUAUCGAUUCUACUAAUUUUUUUUCGUUAAAUAAAUAAUAAUAUUAAAAUUAAAAAAUACUAAAGUAAAUAUUCCCUAAAUUUAAAGUAACAUAUCCGAAAAUUUUUGUAUAUUAAUAAAAAAAAUGAUGAAAAGAUAAAAAUAAAAUUACAAAACAUUAAUUUGAUAUAUGCGAAACCACGGGAUGGUAUUUGAAUUUUGAAGUGAACCCAAAAAACAAAAAAUGUAAUUCCCUGUCUCCACGAUCGAACCAAAUCGCCAUGGAAGAGCUUCGUCUCCUCGCUCCCAUUCCUUCUCCUCCAACGACGACGACGAGAGAAGCUGCUUCAUCUACACUUCGUUUCCCUUACCUCUGCGCGAUUACUACUGCGAAUUCAAUCCCUUUUACGUAGCUCGCUCUUCUUCUUCGUGUUCUGAAGCAAAUGCGGUGAGUCGAUCAUGGCGUUUUAUAUAUAUAUUUUUUCGAUCUCUUUGAUUUGUAUGCUUUUUAUAUGAUGUUCAUUUGAUGAUGAUGAUAUCAAUAAUAGCUUCGAUUUGUAGUCGAACGAGCUAUAACAAGGUUUUUAAAAAAAAUGAAAAGAGAGAGAGAGCAUGGAGAUCCCCUCAACUAUAGGGCAUUUAUAAAUAGGACCUUUUAAUUGUUUUGGUUUGAGUUAUUUUCCUUAAUUGAAUUGGUAUUCGAAGGAAUUAAUUGUUCAAUAUCUAUUCAUCAUCAAUAGUUAAUCAAAUUUGCAAUUCCGUUAGCUAAAAGAGUGUUCUAUUUGUUCAAUUUGUCAGGAUCACAGUUUAAUUUCACAAAUUUUUGUAUUUGAGUGAUGCAAAUGGCUUAAAUCUAAAUAAUCCUGUGCAUUUUUUCCUUGUGAGAGAUAAAAUUUCAAUGGUUUGUUCCUUUCCAGGGUUAGAGUCACUUAGGAUUACUGAUAACAUGAUGUUUAAUUCUCUUGCAUAUUUCACACCACAUCCAAAGGUAUUGAUCUUUUUUUGUUUAUCUUUUGUUUUUUUGGAUUGUUAAAUAAGCAUAGAAGAGAUACAAAAUGAAUAUAAUUCUAAGGUUUGAACAAAUUACAAGGUCUAAUGCCAGAGACUUUCAAUAGCUCUUGUUGAAUUCGCUUAUUUGCAAACAGAGAGGCUUCUUCAUUCACCUCCUCUCUAUUUCUUUUCUUUUUUUGGUCAAUCUCAUGCGACAUUGAAGGAAUUGGCCGUGCUCUCGACAAAUUUCCUGGCUCCCUUGAACCAUCUCUUGUCGCCGGCUUGUGCUUUGCAUAUGUAGAGCUUCCCAUCAGAAACCGUUGCUGUGAUGAGCUGGUGCUUCCCGCCCUCGUCCCCGUCGGCCGUCCUUGUCAGGACCGAGAGGAAGUAGUAUUGCUUCCCGCCCACCACCGGGGUCGAGGUUUCUAGUAUGUUCGCUGUUGCUACCGCGUCGGGGUCGAAUCCACCCUAUCGGAAUUCAUUGGUUUAGAUUUACGUAACACGAACGAUGGCGAUAAACAGUUAAUAGAGAUCAGUAAAUUGAUGAUCUUCAAUGUACCUCAGCAUCUGUUUUCCCAGAGUAAGCUUGUUUUCCUAGCAAGUAAUCAACCUGCAUUAGAAGUAGUCAUACUUGUCAAGUUUAUACAAUUUAUGACAAAGAUUUGCAGCCCAAGAAGAUCACUAAUCUUAGCAUUGAGCCUGACUAGUAUAGCAUUGUUAUCAAAACACCGAUCCUAAUACAAUAAUCUUUGGAAUGGUUUGUGGGGGGUUAGUGUGAUUGUUUACUUUUGAGAGGAACUCCUCGGGGGAGCCGUAGUCGGUAAUGGACUUCUUGUCGGUGGGGGUAACCAUGACGGCGACAUUGCUGGUGGUGUCGAAGUUGUCCUCGUACCUCAGCACCUGUCCCGGGUACUCCACCUCCUUGCUCGGGUUCCACUUCGACGGGAUCAACAGCUUGAACCCAUCCCCAUUGUACGGCAAGAAGUCCGUGUUCGUCUUCGGCUUCCCGAAGACGUUUGCUGCGCCCAGAUAAUAUAUGCUCAGUGUUUUUAGAUGGGUAUGAAAAUCAGAAACUUUGUUUGCUCUAGUGUUUUUUCUUUCCUUCGCAUUUCACCUCAAUUUAUCUUCAAGUUAUCUGUAGAAUUGUUUAGUUUACGAGAUAAGGGGAAAAACUGUAAUGAAAAUAAAUGAUGAGACCUUUGAGAAAAAAAAAAACAUUUGCACCUUUUCUUACUCUUUCUUGUUAACUCAGCUCUGUAAAAACAGUUGAUCAUGCAAAUGUAAAGCUUUUAUUCUUUACUUGUUCUUUAUUUUACCUUAAUUGUUCUGUGCAACUUCUUUUGAACAUAUAAUGCUUUAACUAGAGGAUGAUACUGGUUAUGAUCUUUUGGUAUCUGAGAGCUUUCCUUUGUUCUACUUAUAUAUAAUUUGAGAGUGUUAGAUUACUAAGAUUACCAGCUUCUCCGUAGGCUGCAUCGGCCGGCGACACCUUUGUGCCGAGGGCGGCGGAUCCGAGGAGGAUGGUGAGAGCGAGGCGGCGAGAGAUUGCGGCCUCGUUCUCGCCCUCAACCCCCGCCUGCUGCUUCUGAGCUCUGCAGACCAGCUGGGCCGGCCUGGCGCUCUGCCCUGCGCGCUGCAACAGCGCGUGGGCGGCAGACGGCACGUGGUGGUGGAGGAAGCAAGCAGUGGAGGCCAUCUCUCUCUCUGUAACUUCUCUCUGCCUCUCUCUCCUCUUUCUCACUUGCUCUCUAAGUUGGCUUUGAGUCUAAGGGGUUGUAUGGGUUAUUGUUGUGGUAUGUGUUGUUGAUGUGUGGAGGGGGAGUGGAUUUUGUGUGGAUAGUGUGUGGAUGUGGUGAUUGGAUGAUGUUCAGAUUAUUGGAUAGGGUUUGCUGAGAUCUGAUUGGGCCACGUAGGACUGUAAUGUUCUCUCAUCCUCUCUCUAGAAUGAUAUGUUUCUAUGCUGCUGCUACUGCUGUUACCUAGUUUUGUUGCUGCACAUGUAUUAUUCAUUUCAAUAAUAAUUUAACCCUACAUGAAUGAUUAGUUCCACAUGUUGUUUUAUUUUCCUCCCUCAAUUUUUUUGCCUCACUAAUUUUCCAGGGUCAAAUUAAUGGUUACUCACUGUACUAUCAUCUAUGCUUAAAUAUUUUAGUACUUAAAUUGUUGUAGAUAUUGUAUGUUUCUUUCCAAUCAUAAGAAGAAACAUACAAUUCGUCCUUGUUUUCUCAAGAAGCCCAAGUGUUUCAAUUUGGUAGUAAUUAAGAUAUAUUAUGGUAUCAGGAUUGUACAAUUAGUCCUUGUUUUGUUACAAUACAUUCAAUUCACUCACAUUGAAUAGCAUCAUUCAACAAUUGCAUCGUUUAAACAAAAAAGGGGAGGAAAAAAAAAAAAAAAAAAAAACUCAAUUGUGUCCAUUAAGCAUGGAGGAUAAGAGGGAAUGGAGAUGGACAUGAACACCAAGAAAGGAGAAGCUCGGCAACGGCGGAAUCUUCGGCGACGGGAUCGGCGGCAGCGAGAAGUCCGGUAUCUCCACCGACAAGUUCGGCAGCUUCGGAAUGGCCGGAAUAACGGCCGGAAGGUCAGCGCGAAGAUCCGCGGGAAUGGGCGGAAUAUCGGCUGGAAGGUCAGCGGGAAUCAUGUCCGCGAAAGAUGAUACAUUUGCCGCCGCUGCCGCUGCCACCGCUGUCGCAACUGCGUCCGGAGGUAAAUCCGUUAAAAGCCGCGCGGCAUCGCAAGAUUUUACAUCGGAGACGGAGAUCGCCGCAACUAAGAUUGCGAAGAAGAGGCGAUUCAUGGAGAUUAUCCUUAAAAAUUCUAAUGUAUUUCGUGAAGGUAGAGAUGUUUAUGUAUGAAUCUUUUAUUAGAUUACGUAAAUGAAAUGUUUAUAGGGUGCUAAAAUUUGGAAGUUGCAGGAAUAGGUAACUCUCGGUUUGUGGCUAAGAGUGAUUUGAGCUUGGAACGCAAUUAAAUAGUCAACAUUUUUGAAUUGGGUCUCUUUGAUCUUUGGAUAUUGCAUGAUUGCCUUCUCACUGGGUAUUAGUCACAUGAUAGUCCCUGAGAUAAUUUGUAUUUGCAAUUUGCCCCACAUUGUAUCUAAAAUUAAUCAUUCAACUAAUUUCUAGUCUCUGAUGAUUUUUUGACCUACGCGAAUUGAGACACCAAUUAAUGGAUGCUAUGUGUCGCGAUAGAUAUAAUCAAAGCUAAAACUUUUUUUUUAGUUUAGAAAAUAUUGUUUUUUCCUAUUGAAAUUUUUUUUUUACAUUUAAGUACAUGGAAUUCUCCUAUUUUGGCUUAUGCGAUGCAAAUUUUGCAGAGUGCACAAAAAACAGCAGCGAAUUACUGACUCGACAGUCCAUUUAAAAUGUGAAUAUCGAUUUAAGUGAUAAUCAGACAGAUAGACUAAUUGGUAAGUAAGAUGAAUAUACUUUUACGAACAAUGAAUAAAAAUUUUAGGAAAAAUUUCAAAUACCACCCAUAUAGUUUCACACUUUUUUACUUUAGUGCCUUGUGGUUUAAAGUGUAUCCAUUUAGUUCCCCGUGGUUUCAAUUUUAUCUUUUUAUUAUCGAUUUCACUAAUUUUUUUCGUUAAAUUAAUGACAAAGUUAAAACUAAAGGAUAUUAAAGUGAAUAUUCGAUAAACCUAGGUAAAGUAUUUGAAGUUUUUGCAUAUAUUUAAUUAAAUAUUAACGAAGUUACUGACGAAAAGAUAAAAAUGAAACCCCAGGACACUAACUUGACACACAUAAAACCACAAGGUAGUAAAAUAAAAAAGUACGAAACUAGAGGAGCGGUAUCUAAAGUUUAUGCGCACCGAAACCUGAAGAGAAUUUGUAGCACAUGUAAAAUUAAGACCACAUUUUAGCAGUUUUGAGGUGUAUUUGUGAUGUGGUAUACAAGGUAUAGUGAAAAAAUAACCCCUACCAUAGAUUGACAGUUGUAAGCUUAGAGAGAUAAUAAUUGUUAGGAUUGGUGAACUAACAACAAAACACAUCUACCUCUUCUCAUUUUUUUUCUCACCAAAGCAAGCAACUUUAACCCAAUUGAAUCCCAACCACCAAUCUAACCCUAAUCUCCUCCACAUCAACUCCCUUUCCCUCCUCACUAUAUAAACACCAUAUAAUCCCCAUGCAAUGCUAUAUCUCAUCAUCACAAGCCCCAAGUAGUAGUAACCAAUCUCCAACACCUAAAGCUCUAAUCACUUUUGUGAUACUCUCUCCCGCUUCUCGCAUGGCUUUUAAAACAGCUUCUCUGCUCCUCGCGGCUGUGCUUGUUCUCGUCGCGACCUGCACGAGCAACGCAGCCCGCCGGCUCGAAGACGCCACUCCUUCCACGGAGGUGCCACCGAUUCCGAAGGUUGAGGAGCCGCCUAUCCCGAAGGUGGAGGUGCCACCGAUUCCGAAGGUGGAGGUGCCGCCUAUCCCGAAGGUGGAGGUGCCACCGAUUCCGAAGGUGGAGGUGCCGCCUAUCCCGAAGGUCGAGGAGCCUCCGCUCCCGAAGGUCGAGGUGCCGCCGAUCCCGAAGGUCGAGGUGCCGCCGAUCCCGAAGGUCGAGGUGCCGCCGAUCCCGAAGGUCGAGGUGCCACCGAUCCCGAAGGUCGAGAUACCGCCGAUUCCGCACAUUCCGGACAUCCCGAAGGUCGAGUUGCCGCCGAUGCCUGAAAUUCCGACCAUCCCGGAAAUCCCGAAGAUUCCCUUCCCCUUCCACGUCCCGCCUCCGGCCGACGACCAUCCCGCCACCGCAGCAGCACCAUGAGGUGUUACAUAUACAAAGAGAGAAGUGUUGGUGACGAGCCCCGGGUGCUUGUUUCCUGUGCGUGCAUGGUACGUACGUACGUAGAUGAAUAAGAGUUUAAGGAGUCUACUUAUAGUAGAGGGAGAGUCCUUAUAUAUAUAUAUAUAUAUAUAUAUAUAUAUAUAUAUAUAUAUAAUAUAUAUAUGUAUUUGCUUGUGAUUUGCUUUGUUUUAGAUUUGUUGUGUUUGGGAGUUUGGGUUUUACUUUAUUUAUUACAUUGUUGUUUAGAUUUUGGUUUCGUUUAGUGUUCGUUUAUGUAUAUAUACAUGGUCGGAAUAUUACAUUUUAUGAUUUACCAAAUGCAAUAAGUAUUUCUUUAUUAAAUAAUGCGAAAUAAUUUAUCCUGCAUUACUCUCCAAAUACUUAAAUUAUCAGAUAACGGUAUUUUUAAUAUUUAUAUUCAAUACUUCUUUUCACAUCUUAACUCAAAAUUUUUCGAUAGAUCCACCACGUGAACUUAAAUUGAAUUGGUUAAAAUUUUAUACUCUGAUACCAUAUUGAAUUAAAUAAAAUAAUCGUUAUUCUUCAAAAAUUUUAUCUUUAACUAUGAAAUACGAAUGUCCCCGACUGUACCUGUUAUGCAUGCGCCACGCACUUUGUUAGACACUAUUUCUUUGGACGUUUGAUUGGUUGGUGGGGUACAUCAAUUCAUAAAGAUCAUCUAAGAAAUGCUCUUUGUAUUAAAACUAUCUAAUUAAAAAAAUUAAUAUUUCAUUAUUGUUUCGACUUGGCACGAGACAGUGUUGGGCCCAAACAGGUUUGAGCCUUACAAGGACCAAAAACGUAAAUGGGCCCAAUUUGGGCCCAUAAUGGGCCUUGGUCCAUUUCAUUGAAACUCAGAAUCUAUUGAACAAGUAUAUAAAGCUAUUCCAAUUAAUUGCAAAAUGUAAGGGGCCGUUUGGUCGGAUGUAAUUAGAAAUGCAAUACUGUAAUAUACUGUUAGAGAUGCAAUAGUUAUAACUAUAUAUAUCUUAUUUGGUUGGAUGCAGUAGAAGACAUUGCAAUUAUAAAUAAUUUGUUUAAUUGUGUGUAGUUGAAAAGUACAUUUAUAAAAUUUUAUAUGGCCUUCAAUAUAGAAAAAUUAUUAUUUAUUAAAAUGAUUAGAGAGGUAAGUUUACUUUUUAUACUCUAUCCAACUGCAGCAAUUGGAACUACGCCACUGCUGCAGUUGGGCCUCCUCGUGUAGUUCCAACUGCAAUAGUACGGAUUCGAAUGCAUCAAACUAAAUACUGAAUUUAAAUUUACAUAUAGUUAUAAUUGAAGCAUACGUAGUUGUAAUUACAUGUAACCAAACGGCCCAGCUCUAAAAGUUAUUCUGAGUUUAUAAUUCUUCCAGGUACCGUUUGGUUCGGGUAUAAGCAAGAACUAGCUAUUAUAGGAAUAGGUACAAGUAUGGGAAUAAAAAAAAUAAUGUUUGGAUGAAAAUUGGGUUGUUCCGGAGGAUAAGAAUAAUUUUAGGUAGUUUUGUAUAGAAAAUGAAGGUGUUGGUGAGAAUAACCGAGAACUACUAUUCUCGGCUAAAAAAUUAGCGUUUGGAUAUAAAAGGGGAUAAGGGCCUAUUCCUAUCCCUAUCUCCUAACCAAACGCUACCCCAGUUGCUAUGGAUAAGAAGUUACAUGAUAUAUCAUUACCAAUAUAGGAAUAAUUAAUAUAGGUUUUUAAGGCCCUAUUUUUGACUUUUUCCUUUACUUUUUUGACAAGAUAUUUUAGUCAAAGAUACCUGGAUGUGGAAUAAGAUCCUGUUAGAGGAUAAGGUUGAGGAGCUUAUUCUUUUUAUGGGUAAAGGUUAAAUGAAUGAGUUUUGGGACCUUAUAAAGUUGAAGGUAUUAUAGCUAAAAUAAAAUAUGUUGGUUAAAUUACAUUUUUUGCAACUUUUGACUUGAAUUUUUUAGAUUGUUGCAAUGGAGUCUCAUGAUCCAAUUUAAUUAAUGAAAAACUAAUGUGUCGCUAUUAGCAAUAACUAAAAUGUUUAUAUUACUGUAUUUAAUAUAAAUAUCAAAAAUAUUGUUCUUCGACAAUUUAAACUUUUCGAGACAAACGAUUGUUUCACAUUUUCAACAUAGUAUGUUCCUCACUUCAUUUAAUUUAUUCACAUUUAAUCAAGCUUAAAAACUCUUCAGCGCAUAGCUUCAUUUAAUUAUUUCACAUUUAAUAUUCAAGUUUAUUUAUUUAGUCUAUCUAAGAGUCUCGAAGCAAGACAUAUUGAAAAGUUUUGAAUAUAAAAAUAUUAUUUUCUGACAAUAUAAAUUUUUGAAGGCAAAAUAUUAUUUAAUAUUAUUUGACAUAUUAUUAUAUUAGCAACAAAGUAGUAUUUAGUCACUAAAUUGAACUAUAAAACUUAAUUAUAAACAUCAAAAAAGUUUGUCACUUUGGAUGUUUCUCAAUUUUUAGCUUAUUUUUGUCAUUUUCUAGAUAGUAAACUCUAUCCAAAAAGCUUUGUUUUGCAACUCCAAAUCUUUUAUAUAAGGGUUAAUUGCAUACACGUUUCUAUAAAUAUAUUGAAUUGCAAAUAUAUUCUUAUAAAAUGCAACUUUUAUAUUUUGUCUCCGUAAAAAUUCUAAUAUAUUCAAAUAUGCUCCUGCUGUUAGAAUCCGUUAUAAAAUUUUAGUUAAUCAUAGGUUAAAUAUUUAACCUUGAUUAGUUUAUAAAAUAAUUUAAUAUUUUUAUUUUUCUUAUAUUAUACUAUUAUGACUUUUGGAGAGAUAUAUUUAUGAUGACAAAAUUGAAAAUAUAAACAAUUCUCUAAUGGUAACAAAACAGAGAGAUAUAUUUGAAAAUAUUAGAACUUUUGCAUAAACAACAUAUAAAAGUUAACUUUGUAGGAAUAUAUUUGUAAUUCACUAUAUUUGUAGAGGAUUGUAUGCAUCUAAUCCUUUGUUAAAAUACGAAUACUGAGUAUAAUUGGGCACUUUUGUAACACUUUUAUAUAUAAUUUAAAGAACACAAAACCACCGAAAUACCCUACAAUGUAACUGGGCACGUCACAGCUGUAACAUUUAUUUUAUUUUUUUAAUUAUAUACAUAUAUAAGUAACUUAAUAAUUAUUAUUAUUUUACUACAAAGUGUUGUAAGUGUUAACAUCAUGAACUGUAAAUACAGUAUAAAUACAUAUAGAAUGUGAUCCGAUCAUCUUAAUAAAGUUUUGCAAUCCAAUUUAAAAAUUAAAUUUUGAACUUAGUUGAGAUGAUAGUAAGAUAAAAGAUUAGUAAUUUUUUUUUUAGCAUAGAAUAAUUGAAACUGAGGCUACAAUUAAAGGGUUAUUUUUUUGUAAUUUAAUCAUAUAUAAAUAAAAAUGUUUGCUAAUAUAUAAGGACCCAUUUUGUGGGCUAUCUAUCAUAGUUAAGCAUUAUUUUUUGCGCUUUCUAAUAAAACUGUGGAAAUUAUAUCUGAAUAAAAUCAUUACGAUCUACACAAUGCAAUAUAUAUAUAUAUAUAUAUAUAUAUAUAAAAGCACGUAUAUCAAAUUUGGGUCUGUCGACAGACUCAUUUUUCGACGGAAAAAUUUAGCGCCCAUUUUCCUCCUUCUGUACGAAAAAAUUUUAAAAAUAAGAAUAAAAAUAGAAAUAAAAACAGUAAUGAAUACGUAAUUAUAAAUUUUUUAUUUUAAUUUCAAAGUAAGUUUUCUAUAACAGAUUACGGGUGUGACAAUCUAUAAAAGAUAUUUUUUAUUUUAUUUUAAAAUAUCUUUUUUAGAUAUUAUCUAUUUAAUUUCAAAAUAUAUUUUCUUUUUAAGAUAACGGAUUUUAUUUUUCUAUUUAAUUUCAAAAUUUUAUUUCCUAACAUAUUUUAUUUUUCUAUUUAAUUUCAAAAGUAAUUUUUGCAUUAGAGAUUAUUGUUAAUUAUUUAUCAUUUAAAGCAUAUCUUUCUUAAUAGCGUGAUUUAUUAUUUUAAAUUUUUUAGAUACAUAUUUGGCAAUCAUAUAAAAUAUGGCCUAAAAUUAAAAAAUAAUUUAAAAAAAUUAUAACUUUUUCUAAUAAUUAUUACGUGCAUUUGUACGUACAUUUUACUAGUAUAUAUAUAUAUAAUGAAAUGUUGUCCUACCACAUUUUUUAUCAUAUAUAACAUAUUUUUCUAGUAAUCGCAGAUAGAACCUAAGGCUACGCUGAAAAUUAUAAGCAAAUUGAAUUUAUAAGUAAUAUUUUAUUAUGCAUAUUGUAAUGACUUGAUUAAAAUAUAUUUUUUGCUAUUUCAUCAGAAAAAAAAGUAGCGUAUAUUUCUAUAUGUCAAUUAUAAAAAAUUAAUUUAAUUAGCUAAAAAUAUUUUUUAAAAAACUUUUAAAAUUAAAUAUGUCAAUUCUAAAAAUAAAAUAAAAUUUAAAGCAAUUUCAAAAGAAAUGUAGUUGGGGGGUUUUCCAUGCAUAUUUACCAAAUUAAGAAAUAAAAAAAAGGAGAAGAGAAAAUGUGAGCCACAUGGCCUUGUCCCAUUCCUUCACCACUAAAUUUUUCCCCCCUUAAAAAAAAGAAAAAUAAAAAAUAAAUGGGAGGUAAAUGAGAGAAGAGGAUCUUUUUGUGGCCAAAAAUUACUUGGAAAAUAAAUGAAUGGGUGGUGUUAAAAUAUUAUAAAAAUGACUUGGAAAAAAAAAAUGAAUGGAUGGUGUUAAAAUAUUAUAAAAGUGUUAGAAUAUUCUUGCUCUUUUUCUUAAGAGAUAAACUUAGCAAAUUCCCCAAAAAAAUUCUACCACUAUUUAACAAAAUUGAUGAGUCAUAUAUGAUAUUUAUUUAUAUUUAUUUUUAUUGAAGUAUUAAUUAAGAAUAAAAAAAUAUAUGAGUAGUUUGUGAUAUUCUUUUAUCUUCAGAGAAUUAGUUGAAAUUAAUUAUUAGUUGGAUUGAAGUGUUGAAUAUAAAAUAUUUAAAACAUUAUUUUUUUGUAAUUUAGUUUUUUUUUUAUUUAAUUCAAGUUCACGUUUUGGAUCUAUCAAAAAAUUUUGAAUUUAAAUGUGAGAAAGAGUGGUGAAUAUAAAUAUUAAAAAUAUAGUUUUCUGAUGACUUAAGUUUUUAGAGAACAAAAGUCUCUUCAUAAAAUUAGCUAGUUGUAUAAAUUAAAAACGAUGGAUGUAAAAAUUUACACCUAUAAAAUAGGAGUACAAGUUAACAUGUAACAGCUCACAUAUAGCAUCUGCUUCUAACAUCGCUUUUUAUUAAUUCAAUCUUAUUUUUUAGCAUGGUAUCAGAAUAAGAGAUUCAGAAUUUGAGUCAUCGAAAAUUAGUAUUAGUAAUUUUUUUUCUAUUUAAUUCAAGUUCAUAUUUUAAACCUAUCAAAAUAUAUAAAAAACUCUUAUGUUGAUCUUUAACACUAAACUCUAGUGAAUAAUCUUCGAAUUAGAAACUGAUCAUUACUAAUCGACGAGUUGUUUUGAACUUCAGAUUAGAAAUUGUUCAAACAGUGAAUAUAUAUAAAUAAAGCUCCAGCUACGUCAAACAGAUAUGCAUUCAAAUAAACUAGUGUUUCUAAUAUCUUCUACGCCCACAGAAAUAAGGGUGAGACAGAAGCUCCAACCGCAUCAAACAGAUCCGUUCGACAAAACUAGCUUUUUUUCUUUCUUGAGAAAAAUAAAAUUUACAAUACAUUAAUUGCACGCCCACAGAAUCAAAACCAAAGAAUUUGUAUCUCCCAGUACUUCAAGGACAUCCAGUUAUUUUUACUCUUUUUUUUUAAAGAAAAUGGUUUCAAUUUAUUGCAUGCAUACAUGCAUGCAAUUAAUUUAGGAUAAACUUCAAAUAACAUCUCUAUAGUUUCGUGCGUUCUCACUUUGGUACUCUAUACUUUAAAGUGAUUUCAUUACUUUGUGAUUUCUUUUUGUUUUUUUUCGUCAGCCUCUCCGUUAACUUUCGCUAAAUCAUAUAUAAAAUACUUCAGAUACUUCAUUUAUAAUUUAUCGAAUAUUCACUUUAAUACUCUUUAGUUUUAACUUUAUUACUGAUUUAACGAAAAAAAUUAAUAAAGAGGAUAACAAAAAAAGAAAAAUAGAAAUUGGCUCGUUUAACAAUUGAUUGAGUUUAAAUCGGAUCAAAUUUCGAGUUGAGCGUAGUUUUAGCCCUGGUUAAUUGAAUCAAUAAAAUUACUCUCUCUCUCUCUCUCUCUCUAUAUAUAUAUAUAUAAUAAUAAUAAUAAAUUUGAAAGAAUUAUAAUUUUUUAUAUAAAUUUGAUAAUGAAUAAUAAUUUUUUCUAUUGUCCGAUGCAAACACAUGCUUUCAUUCUAUAACUACUCGAUACUUACAAAAAUUUUGUUAAAUUAUAGAAAAAUUAUAAUAUAAAAUUUAGUGCGGGCACUGUAAAUAUUCAUUAAUAUUGAUAUCAAUAUUACAAUUAAUAAAUAUUUUAAAAAACAAAAAUUAAGUUAAAAUAAAUAACAAAAUUAAAUAUAUUUUAAAGUAGAAAAUAGGUGAAUAUUAGAGUAUAACGAUACAAUUAACUAUAUUUAUUUAUAUUAUGUUUUUAAAGCUAAAAAAUGAAACAUAAAAAAAAUAAAAUAAAUAAAAUAGUGAACACGACGAGACCCUUCCCAAAUUGGGAAGCGGCGUAAGUCAAAAUUUAUGCGGUCAUUGGAAUCGGCAACGCUGACGAAAAUUACGGCUGCAUCAAAUUUCGCGCUCAACUCCUCUCCGGGAAAAAAAAAAAUGUUCUAUGCGGACGUACCUUCAUAAGCCAAUAUGCGGGGGGAAUUAAAAAUUUCGGUUUUAAAUAUCUUAUUAUAUUUCUAAUCUGUUUUUAUUAAAUAAAUCUUUUAAGUAACACAAAAUUAGAGCCCGCUCUAAGCUCUCUCUCAAUUGAAAGAGAUCGUAUAAGUUCAUUUUCUAUAAUCAUUCACUUAUCCACAUAAUAUUAUUACAUAAGAAAAAAGUUAUUAAAAAUUUAUAUUUAGAUUCUAAGCUUAAUUUCUUGUUAAAUUUUAGAUUUUGCUGAUGCGUUUGGUGAGUAAAUUACGAUGCAUUCAUGUACAUAAUUUGGAGGGGUUUAGAUCCAUUCUCUGAAAUAAGUACGAAAUCAAACAAAAUAUAUAUAAACUGGUUUAAUUCGUCGGAUUUUAAAGAUUGGUUUGACAAAGAUAUCUAAUUACUCAUCGUAGUCGCAUUUAUAAAGAACUUUAUAUAACUCUUUUUUGGAAAAUAUAUAUAUUACUUACACAGCUACAUUUGAUGCUAUAUAUAUAUAUAUAUAUAUAUAUAUAUAGAGAGAGAGAGAGAGAGAGAGAGAGAGAGAGUGUGUGUGAGACUAUUAUGCUAUCGGAAGCACGGAGCAUUCCGUGCUUCUAGCUUGUUUUCGAUGUUGCGACUUUCGAAUAGUCGAUCGGCUCCAUUAAACUUGAUCUAGAGUAUUUGGAGUACCUAGAAAAUAAAUUUUAUAAUUUUACGAUAUCAUUUGCCUAGUGAACGAAAGGGCUCAAAAUCAACGGCUGAAAAUAAAAAUCUUACAAAAUGUAAUAAUAUGACAUUAAAAUUUUAAUCAAAGAUAUUGAUCUUGUUUUAUAUAGUAUAAAAAAUUUUCUAUUAAAAUUUCACAUGAUUUGGAUAUUUCUACACCGUUAAACUUGCAAACGGCUCACUACGGCCAUUGAAAUUUGUUGAUUUUGAGCCCAUUCGAUCACUAGGCAAAUGAUUAUUGAAAUAUAUUAAUAAUAGUUAUUCUUGUAGUACUCCAAAUAUUCUAAAUCAAGUUUAAAGAAGCGCGAUCGACGAUUCGAAAGUCGCAAAUCAAAACGACUGGAAGCACGGAAGGCUCUGUGCUUCACGAUUGCUCAUAGUGCCUCAUCUAUAAUAUAAUAUAUACUAUAUAUUAGAGUAGGGCUAUGUAAUUAUUGUAAGUAUUCAUGGGUGAUACUGUGUGUUUUUAGCUUUGGAUGGAGAGUAUUGGUGGGUUGAGAGGAUGGUUGAUUAGGUGGUGGUUAGUGAAUGAGUAUUUAAUCCAAGGGCUAUUAAUAAUCAAAAGUAGUCAAAUGGCUUAAAACCUUAUAGCACUGAUGAUGAUAUUGUAAAGUUUAUAGUCAACUCGUAUAUAUAAUAUAUUAGGAUAUAUAUAUAUAUAUAUAUAUAUAUAUAUAUAUAUAUAUAUGCCUUAGUAAAACUUUCGUAUUAUUUUUGUCUAUGCUUAUUUAUUACAAAUAUGGUUAUAAAUUUUGUAUGUCUGCGUCAGACUCUUGUUCGUCGUGGACACGUUAUGAAUGCGCGUUUGUCCGCAUCCACAUUUCGACCCAUUAAACAAUUAAAAAAUCUAUUAUACUUUUUUUACUUAUAUAUUAUAUGAGAUGAUAAAAGUUUUGUUUCUUCUAUGAAUAUAUAUAAAUUUAUUUUGGACGAUAUAUAUAAAAAAAAAUUAUGCAUGGUGAAACUUAUUUUUUCUUUAAAUAUAUGAGCUAUCAAUAAAAAUUUUAUUCACACUUAAUCAUAUUAAAAUUAUAACAAUAUUUCAAUAAUAUAUAUAUAUUUAUAUUAAUAAUAUUAUAUUUUAUUAUAAGUGUUCAUCCGUAUUCGUAUUUAUGUCUGUGUGUGCGAGGAAAAAUUCUAGAAUGUAACGGGUAUAUUAGUGACGUGGCGUAACAAACCAAUCAAAUUAAUCCUUUUAAGAAUAUAUGUCCCAUCAUAAUUGUAAAAAAAUAUUUUUAUUGUACUUUUAUUUAAAAAGAAGGAAUGUGAUUGGCUUGUUAUUGAUGACGUGGUGCAAGUGUGACAGUGUAGAAUUCCUCGU